GUUGGUUUAGUCUAGUGGGUAAGGCACCAGGUUAGAAACCUGGUGGGUGACUUUGAGCCAAUU
This 63-nucleotide transfer RNA is filed under the name Ophiophagus hannah (king cobra). It matches the Rfam family "tRNA". From Rfam's summary of the family: Transfer RNA (tRNA) molecules are approximately 80 nucleotides in length. The record is from Rfam by way of RNAcentral. Lineage: Eukaryota; Metazoa; Chordata; Lepidosauria; Squamata; Elapidae.